UACGUAGGGAGCAAGCGUUGUUCGGAUUUACUGGGCGUAAAGGGCGCGUAGGCGGCGCGGUAAGUCACUUGUGAAAUCUCUGAGCUUAACUCAGAACGGCCAAGUGAUACUGCAGUGCUAGAGUGCAGAAAGGGCAAUCGGAAUUCUUGGUGUAGCGGUGAAAUGCGUAGAUAUUGGGAGGAACACCUGCGGCGAAGGCGGGUUGCUGGGCUGACACUGACGCUGAGGCGCGAAAGCCAGGGGAGCGAACGGG
This 253-nucleotide ribosomal RNA is filed under the name uncultured bacterium. RNAcentral describes it as "partial 16S ribosomal RNA". It matches the Rfam family "Bacterial small subunit ribosomal RNA", at positions 524 to 776 of the family's 1533-position model. The record is from RNAcentral.